This 278-nucleotide unclassified non-coding RNA is filed under the name uncultured fungus. RNAcentral's name for it is "partial contains 18S rRNA, ITS1, 5.8S rRNA, ITS2 and 28S rRNA". Lineage: Eukaryota; Fungi. The record is from RNAcentral.
AAGGAUCAUUAUUGAAUGAACUUGGUGUGGUUGUUGCUGGCUCUUUUGGGGGCAUGUGCACACUCACCAUUCUCAUCUCUCCACCUGUGCACUUCUUGUAGACUUGGAUUGACUUUCCGAGGCAACUCGGUCGGGAGGAUUGCUGGCACCAGCUGGCUUUCUUUGCAUUUCCAGGUCUAUGUUUUUUCAUAUACCCCAUUGUAUGUAACAGAAUGUAACAUUGGGCACUCGUGCCUAUAAAACUUAUACAACUUUCAGCAACGGAUCUCUUGGCUCUC